RNAcentral lists this long non-coding RNA (387 nucleotides) under Ananas comosus (pineapple). RNAcentral's name for it is "long non-coding RNA (ACOM_LNC015498)". The record is from RNAcentral. Lineage: Eukaryota; Viridiplantae; Streptophyta; Magnoliopsida; Poales; Bromeliaceae.
AACAACAAAUUAAAUGUGAAAAACGAAAAAAGAAACUACUGCUAGAAGUAGAGCUAUAAGGAAUUGAACCUUCUAUUCUAUUGCGGUCUCAAUUCAACAGGUGAAAGGUCAAUAAUCCUACAAAAUUUUGUUGAAGUACAUGCAUUCAAUUGUGGUUUUAUUGGGACAUGAGAGGGAGCGGUUUUGGAAGAUGAGGGGUUUUGGAGGUUAGGAGAUGAGAGGGAAUAGUUUUGGUGCAAUUAUAUGCAUUCAAUUGUGGUUUUAUUGGAGAUACGGAGAGAACGGUUUUGAAGAUGAGGGUUUGGAGGUUGGGAGAUGAAAGAGAGCAAUUUUGAAAGAAGGAGUAAUGCCAUGUCAGCAAGAUAUUGGGGAUUCAUAGAUUAGUAU